UUGAUUAUCCUAAAGCCCACUCAGACAACACCUAAAAGAGCGUGGUGGUCCUCUGGCGGGCAUGCACCCGCCAAGGCAACAACAGUAUAGUAGACAGUGGGUGGGAGAUACUGCCCCCUGGGGGGCCUUCUCUGUAAUGAUCCUUCCGCAGGUUCACCUACGGAAA
This 166-nucleotide unclassified non-coding RNA is filed under the name uncultured fungus. RNAcentral's name for it is "sequence contains ITS1". Lineage: Eukaryota; Fungi. The record is from RNAcentral.